RNAcentral lists this ribosomal RNA (428 nucleotides) under uncultured bacterium. RNAcentral's name for it is "partial 16S ribosomal RNA". It matches the Rfam family "Bacterial small subunit ribosomal RNA", at positions 354 to 796 of the family's 1533-position model. The record is from RNAcentral.
GUAGGGAAUAUUGCACAAUGGAGGAAACUCUGAUGCAGCGACGCCGCGUGAGUGAUGAAGGCCUUCGGGUCGUAAAGCUCUGUCGCAGGGGAAUAACACAAUGAAGGUACCCUGUAAGAAAGGAUCGGCUAACUUCGUGCCAGCAGCCGCGGUAAGACGAGGGAUCCUAGCGUUGUUCGGAAUCAUUGGGCGUAAAGCGGAUGUAGGUGGCUAUGUAAGUCAGAUGUGAAAGCCUGGGGCUCAACCCCAGAAGUGCAUUUGAUACUGCGUAGCUUGAGUGUCGUAGAGGUUACUAGAAUUGUUGGUGUAGUGGUGAAAUACGUAGAUAUCAACAGGAAUACCGGAGGCGAAGGCGGGUAACUGGCCGAACACUGACACUGAGAUCCGAAAGCGUGGGGAUCAAACAGGAUUAGAAACCCGGGUAGUCC